This is a long non-coding RNA of Mustela lutreola (European mink), 873 nucleotides long. RefSeq lists it as uncharacterized. Lineage: Eukaryota; Metazoa; Chordata; Mammalia; Carnivora; Mustelidae. The transcript is spliced from 3 exons. The record is from RefSeq and is a predicted model, not a curated record.
GUAUAAUUCUGCAUACAAUAUUUUCAGUGCAUAGCAUAAGAUUAUUGAACAAUACAUAACCAUUUAUGAACUGUAUUUAUUCUUGUCAGUUACAAUGAUUCCUAUGGAUUUUUUUUAAGACUAACUCUUUCCACAACGCUUCCUCAGAACCAGUUGCAGACUUUUACAGUACUAUGUCCUCAAAAUGGUUUGCUUUGCAGACAUUUGGGGGAUAAGUAUGUGUAACCAGGAAGGCCCACUUCCCUAGUUUAGGGUGCAAAUAUGAUGAUUCUUCUUCUAUAUUCCAACAGAUUGUGUCCGCUCCACAUACUCAUGUUAGCAGGAGGUCCAGCAUAAAACUUUGAGAACUGUACCACCCCAAAUGUCCAAGGUCUGAGAAGCUUACUUGGUCUCAAUUAAGUGGCCUGUCCUGCUUACAGAUGCCAGGCCAUGGGGCUUGCCCACAAGCUGGCCUUGGUGUUUGGCGUCAUUGGUUCCCGUUGCUGAGACAGUGUUGUAUCUGAAGUUUGUCUCUCCCUGGUCCUGACUCCAACUCAGUUCACGAAGGAUUUCAUACCUAAAUGGAAUUGCCAAGUUCAGCGAUAAUACACAUCUUCCACACUGCCAACUCUCUCUCCAGAGUGGUUGAACAACUUACCGAGCCACCAGCAGCAUGAGAAUUCUUCAUAUUCCACCGCAAAACUUGGUUAUAGCAGCCUUGAAAAAUACAUCAUUACAGCCUCUCCUUCCUCUUCUCUGGGUUGAUCUGGAUGGGAUAGGAUUGGUCUGACCUUGAAGGGUUGGUAAGGUUUUUGUGAAAAAUUAUCUGGGACUGCUGUUCCUUUAUGGUAGUAUUUGCUGCUUAGAUUGUGUUGGGAACCUAGUUCGAUGUGA